RNAcentral lists this non-coding RNA (461 nucleotides) under Puccinia sorghi. RNAcentral describes it as "Eukaryotic small subunit ribosomal RNA". It matches the Rfam family "Eukaryotic small subunit ribosomal RNA", at positions 1 to 452 of the family's 1831-position model. The record is from Rfam by way of RNAcentral. Lineage: Eukaryota; Fungi; Basidiomycota; Pucciniomycetes; Pucciniales; Pucciniaceae.
CACUUGGUGAUGUCCCAUCAUUUUUUUGUAUUUUUCCUACCGUGCAAAAUGUAAUAGGUUUUUUCAUAUGUUUUCACAAAUAUCUUAUUUGAAUUCUAGUAUUGAUUUGAUUUUCAUUCACAUUGGUUAAAUAUUGGCUUAGUAAUUUAGGUAAAAAUAUGAGGGACUGGUGGUCUAAUACAUGAUGAAAAGCCCCAACCUUUGGAAAGGGUGUAUUCAUUAGAUGAGAAACCAAUGGCCUUUGGGUCUCCUUGGUGACUCAUAAUAACUUCUCAAAUCACAUGGCCUUGCGCCAGUGAUGCUUCAUUCAAAUAUCUGCCCUAUCAACUUUUGAUGGUAGGAUAGAGGCCUACCAUGGUGAUGACGGGUAACAGGGAAUAAGGGUUUGAUUCCGGAGAGAGGGCCUGAGAAACGGCCCUCAAAUAUAAGGAUUGCAGCAGGAGCGCAAAUUACCCAAUCCC